AGCAAGCAGAUCUCCUUCGGGAGUGACGCUUGUGGAACGAGCGGCGGACGGGUGAGUAACACGUGGGCAACCUACCUGUAAGACUGGGAUAACUCCGGGAAACCGGGGCUAAUACCGGAUGAAACAAAGCGUCGCAUGACGCAAUGUUAAAAGGCGGCAUAUGCUGUCACUUACAGAUGGGCCCGCGGCGCAUUAGCUAGUUGGUGAGGUAAAGGCUCACCAAGGCAACGAUGCGUAGCCGACCUGAGAGGGUGAUCGGCCACACUGGGACUGAGACACGGCCCAGACUCCUACGGGAGGCAGCAGUAGGGAAUCUUCCGCAAUGGACGAAAGUCUGACGGAGCAACGCCGCGUGAGUGAUGAAGGUUUUCGGAUCGUAAAACUCUGUUGUUAGGGAAGAACAAGUGCCAUUCGAAUAGGUUGGCACCUUGACGGUACCUAACCAGAAAGCCCCGGCUAACUACGUGCCAGCAGCCGCGGUAAUACGUAGGGGGCAAGCGUUGUCCGGAAUUAUUGGGCGUAAAGCGCGCGCAGGCGGUCCUUUAAGUCUGAUGUGAAAGCCCACGGCUUAACCCGUGGAGGGCCAUUGGAAACUGGAGGACUUGAGUACAGAAGAGGAGAG
Molecule: ribosomal RNA, 622 nt
Filed under: Virgibacillus dokdonensis
Lineage: Bacteria; Bacillati; Bacillota; Bacilli; Caryophanales; Bacillaceae
Description: bacterial SSU rRNA
Rfam family: Bacterial small subunit ribosomal RNA
Source: RNAcentral